RNAcentral lists this transfer RNA (72 nucleotides) under Caulerpa taxifolia. RNAcentral describes it as "tRNA-Ala". It matches the Rfam family "tRNA". From Rfam's summary of the family: Transfer RNA (tRNA) molecules are approximately 80 nucleotides in length. Lineage: Eukaryota; Viridiplantae; Chlorophyta; Ulvophyceae; Bryopsidales; Caulerpaceae. The record is from RNAcentral. RNAcentral also lists the same sequence under 5 other names.
GGGGAUAUAGCUCAGUGGUAGAGCGCUGCUUUUGCACGGCAGAUGUCAGGAGUUCGACUCUCCUUAUCUCCA